GGAAGUUAAAAAGAUUGGAUCUAUCAAACACCCAAAUGUUGUUCAUUUACGAGCAUAUUAUUGGGGACCUCGAGAACAAGAGAGGCUUAUUUUAGCAGACUACAUUUCAGGAGAUAGUUUGGCGUUACAUCUCUAUGAGACAACCCCUCGGAGGUACUCCCCGUUAUCCUUCAACCAAAGGUUAAAAGUUGCCAUUGAAGUUGCUCAGGGUUUGGCAUAUCUGCAUGAGAGAGGACUGCCUCAUGGCGACUUGAAACCUACAAAUAUAAUCUUGGUUGGUGCUGAUUACAGUGUCCGCCUCACUGAUUAUGGUCUCCACCACGUGAUGACUCCAGCAG
Molecule: unclassified non-coding RNA, 338 nt
Filed under: Hevea brasiliensis (rubber tree)
Lineage: Eukaryota; Viridiplantae; Streptophyta; Magnoliopsida; Malpighiales; Euphorbiaceae
Source: RNAcentral